RNAcentral lists this ribosomal RNA (429 nucleotides) under Fusobacteriota bacterium. Its description in RNAcentral is "Fusobacteria bacterium partial 16S ribosomal RNA". It matches the Rfam family "Bacterial small subunit ribosomal RNA", at positions 355 to 776 of the family's 1533-position model. Lineage: Bacteria; Fusobacteriati; Fusobacteriota. The record is from RNAcentral.
UGGGGAAUCUUCCGCAAUGGACGAAAGUCUGACGGAGCAACGCCGCGUGAGUGAAGACGGCCUUCGGGUUGUAAAGCUCUGUGAUCCGGGACGAAAGAGCCUGAGGUAAAUAGCCUAAGGAAGUGACGGUACCGGAAAAGCAAGCCACGGCUAACUACGUGCCAGCAGCCGCGGUAAUUCGUAGGUGGCAAGCGUUGUCCGGAAUUAUUGGGCGUAAAGCGCGCGCAGGCGGCUUACUAAGUCCAUCUUAAAAGUGCGGGGCUUAACCCCGUGAUGGGAUGGAAACUGGAAAGCUGGAGUAUCGGAGAGGAAAGUGGAAUUCCUAGUGUAGCGGUGAAAUGCGUAGAGAUUAGGAAGAACACCGGUGGCGAAGGCGACUUUCUGGACGAAAACUGACGCUGAGGCGCGAAAGCGUGGGGAGCAAACAGG